Conger conger (European conger) is the source of this 370-nucleotide long non-coding RNA. RefSeq lists it as uncharacterized. The record is from RefSeq and is a predicted model, not a curated record. NCBI's taxonomy places the organism in Eukaryota, Metazoa, Chordata, Actinopteri, Anguilliformes, Congridae. The transcript is spliced from 3 exons.
CACCUUGUCACACUGUUACAAUUUGUGUAUGUGUGUGGUAAACCACCAAACUAGUUAUUCCCCUACUUGUGCAUAUGUGUGUUUGUCUGUGUAUAGUCCAGGCCCUGGGGCAGUGACUGUCCCAGAUUCAAAUGCAUCAGCCACCAGAAGGAUUUCUGAAGCUCUAAGCAACACAUGGACAGCACUCCAUGAAUGAACCCACCACAAUACUACUGUCAGAACAAUGAAGUGCUGGAGGGGAAAGCAAGAUUUUUCUUCUUUGCGGUCCUGGCUGGAGCAGCUAGUAAGAACAAAGUCUGCAGAUGGACACAGAAGGACAGGUGCACCAUGGAACAUUCGUUGGAUUUCACCAUGCUCUUCAAUUGACUGG